RNAcentral lists this long non-coding RNA (1019 nucleotides) under Cyanistes caeruleus (blue tit). RNAcentral describes it as "lncRNA (ENSCCEG00000005178.1)". The record is from RNAcentral. Lineage: Eukaryota; Metazoa; Chordata; Aves; Passeriformes; Paridae.
GUGAGUGGUGACCCCCCCCCCACAAAAAUUGGGGAAAAAAUCCUAAAUUCCCAUUUUUGGGGGGAGGGGAAGUGGUGACACCCCCAAAAAUUGGGGGGAAAAAACCCCAAAAUUCACAUUUUUGGGGGGGUGAGAAAGUUGUGACCCCCAAAAUUGAGGAAAAACACCCCAAAAUUGAGGAAAAACACCCCAAAAUUGAGGAAAAACCCCAAAAAUUGGGGAAAAAUCCCCAAAAUUGAGGAAAAAACCCCCAAAAUUGGGUAAAAACCUCCCAAAAUUGGGUAAAAAACCCCCAAAAUUUGGGAAAAAAACCCCUACAAUUGGGGAAAUCCCCCAAAAUUGGGGAAAAAAAACCCCAAAAUUGGGGGAAAAAAAACCCCAAAAUUGGGGAAAAAAUCCAAAAUUGGGUAAAACCCCCCCAAAAUUGGGGAAAAAAUCCAAAAUAGGGUAAAACCCCCCAAAAUUGGGGAAAAAAACCUCCAAAAUUGGGGAAAAAACCCAAAAUUGGGAAAAAAUCCCCAAAAUUGGGGGAAAAAAACUCCAAAAUUGAGGAAAAAAACCCCAAAAUUGAGGAAAAAAAACCCCAAAAUUGGGGAAAAGACCCCCAAAAUUGGGGAAAAAACCCAAAAUUGGGGUAAAAAACGCCCAAAAUUGGGGAAAACCCCCCGAAAAGUGGGGAAAAAAUCCCCUAAAAUUGGGGAAAAAACCCCAAAAUUGGGGAAAACCCCCCCAAAAUUGGGGAAAAAACCCUAAAAUUGGGGAACCCCCCAAAAUUGGGUAAAACAACCCCAAAAUUGGGGAAAAAAUCCCCUUAAAUUGGGGAAAAAAACCCCAAAAUUGGGGAAAAAAAUCCCAAAAUUGGGGAAAAACCCCCUAAAAUUCCCAUUUUUUUAAAAUUUGGGCAUUCUGGCUGCCCCCCCCCCAAAUUUUUUGAGUGGGGGGGGUCCUCCCAGUCCCUUCCCAGUACCAAACUGGGGGGGAGGAGCCCCAAAUUGGGGAGGGGGGAGGGGAUUUUUGGG